RNAcentral lists this ribosomal RNA (3651 nucleotides) under Bursaphelenchus xylophilus (pine wood nematode). RNAcentral's name for it is "28S large subunit ribosomal RNA". It matches the Rfam family "Eukaryotic large subunit ribosomal RNA". Lineage: Eukaryota; Metazoa; Nematoda; Chromadorea; Rhabditida; Aphelenchoididae. The record is from RNAcentral.
ACCACCUGAGUUGGGUAUGACUACCUGCUGAACUUAAGCAUAUCAGUAAGCAGAGGAAAAGAAACAAACAUGGAUUCCCUGAGUAACUGCGAGUGAAACGGGAAGAGCCCAGCGCUAAAGGUUGUUGGCUUCUGGCUGAUGACCGGUGUAGCGUAUAGAACCUUCGUUCGGCUUGUUCAGGCUGGCUUAAGUCUCGUUGGAACGCGGCGGCUAAGACGGUUUUACCCCGGUAAACCUGGCUGGACUUGGUGAGUGUUGGUUCUGGGAGUCGGGUUGUUUGGAAACGCAGCCCAAAGUUGGUGGUAAACUUCACCUAAGGCUAAAUACGACCGCGAGACCGAUAGAAAACAAGUACCGUGAGGGAAAGUUGAAAAGUACUUUGAAAAGAGAGUGCAAGAGAACGUGAAACCGGUGUAAUGGAAGCGAAUGGAGCCGACGUAUCUAGUGCGUAUUCAGCCUUCUGGGCGCGUGAUUGGUGUUUGUGCAUUGCCGCAAGGUGUGCCUGGCGCUAUUGUCGCGUGUUCGGUUGGUGCAUUUGCGUACGGAGUGCGCCGGGUUGUGUGGUGUUGUCGGACGAUGCGCGUUUAGAGGACCCGGGCUUCGGCGCUGGGAACCCUGGGCGUGUGGAGUUCGGUUGGCGCUGCGCAGCUUUGUGGAGACGUGGGUUUUUCGCGUGCCGCGGUGUCGACAGGCUCGGUUCGGGUGGUACACAUGUGUGCAGCCCUUAUGGGGUCGGUCGGUGUUGUGGUGUGCUCUGCGUUCUUCCCGGUGUUCAGUCGGUGACCCAUUCGACCCGUCUUGAAACACGGACCAAGGAGUUUAUGGUAUGCGCAAGUCAUUGGGUUUGUCGAAGCCUAAAGGCGUAAUGAAAGUGAGACAUUACUUGUCUGAACGUGACUGGGUGCGGCAUUCGUGCGGCCCAAGCAACGUUGCCCCGUUUCGAGGACUUGUCCUGAUGCGGAGGUUGAGCGUAUGCUAUGAGACCCGAAAGAUGGUGAACUAUGCCUGAACAGGACGAAGCCAGAGGAAACUCUGGUGGAAGUCCGAAGCGGUUCUGACGUGCAAAUCGAUCGUCUGAUUUUGGUAUAGGGGCGCAAGACUAAUCGAACCAUCUGGUAGCUGGUUUCCUCCGAAGUUUCCCUCAGGAUAGCUGGUGCACAUUCAAACAGAUAUACUCGGUAAAGCGAACGAUUAGAGUUCUUGGGAUGUAUUAUUCUCAGACUAUUCUCAAACUCUAAAUGGUUAUGAUGUUGGUGUUGCUUAAUUGAACACUGACUUUGAUUGUUGUGCUCCAAGUGGGCCAUUUUUGGUAAGCAGAACUGGCGAUGUGGGAUGAACCAAACGCGGAGUUACGGUGCCUAACUAUUCGCUCAUGAGACCCCAUGAAAGGUGUUGGUUGAUAUAGACAGCAGGACGGUGGCCAUGGAAGUCGGAAUCCGCUAAGGAGUGUGUAACAACUCACCUGCCGAAUCAACUAGCCCUGAAAAUGGAUGGCGCUCGAGCGAAUGACCUAUACUCUGCCGUCGUUGAGACCCGAGCAAUCUCUCGACGAGUAGGAGGUACGUUGUAAUGGCGUUGAAGUUGUUGGGCGUGAGCCCGAAUGGAGCCGUUAUGAGUGCAGAUCUUGGUUGUAGUAGCAAAUAUUCAAGUGAGAUCCUUGAAGACUGAAGUGGAGAAGGGUUCCGCGUGCACAGUGAUUGUACGUGGGUUAGCCGAUCCUAAGGCACAGGCUAAUGCUGGAUUUGAAGUUGUGGCGUUAAAUUCACUUGUGGAUUGCGCUGCAUUCGCCGAAAGGGAAGCGGGUUAAUAUUCCCGCGUCGUGACGAGGAGAUUGGCUUCACUUCGGUGUUGUCGAAGCGCGGUAACGCAAAUGAACUUGCCGACGCUGCUUGGAGUCCGGGCUAGAGAUCUCUUUUCUAGUUUAAGCUUUCAUGACCAUGGAAUCGGUUCAUCCGGAGAUAUGGUUGCUGAGGCUGUAGAGCACUGCGGUUGCUGCGGUGUCCCGUGCACUCCAUGUGGCCCUUGAAAAGGUAAGGGAAGCUUAAUGAAUUUCUCGCACGAUCGUACCAAUAUCCGCAGCAGGUCUCCAAGGUGUGCAGCCUCUAGUUGAUGGAAUAAUGUAGAUAAGGGAAGUCGGCAAAUUAGAUUCGUAACUUCGGGAAAAGAAUUGGCUCUAGAGAUUGGGCUAGUCGGGUUGUUACGUGAUGCUUAUGGGCUGCGUUCGUGACUGGGCGGCGAGCUUCGGUGAGCUGUUCGGGCUAGUAGCGUGGCCCGUAGGUGGAUCGUUUCAGCUUGGUCUGCGUUCGUUUCGGCGUGCGUAGUCUUCGGCUAGCGCUUAACAAUCGAAUCUAGAACUGGUACGGACUGGGGGAAUCCGACUGUCUAAUUAAAACAGAGGAGACAGAUGGUCUCUGAAAGACGUUGACUGUCUCUGAUUUCUGCCCAGUGCUCUGAAUGUUAAUUUAAGGAAAUUUGAGUAAGCGCGGGUAAACGGCGGGAGUAACUAUGACUCUCUUAAGGUAGCCAAAUGCCUCGUCAUUUAAUUAGUGACGCGUAUGAAUGGAUUAACGAGAUUCCCACUGUCCCUAACUACUAUCUAGCGAAACCACAGCCAAGGGAACGGGCUUGGCAAAGACAGCGGGGAAAGAAGACCCUGUUGAGCUUGACUCUAGUCUGACUUUGUGAAGAAUCAUGCAUGGUGUAGUAUAAGUGGGAGUGUUUCGGCACGUCAGUGAAAUACCACUACUUUCAUCGUUUCCUUACUUAUUCGGUAAUACGGGGAACGUUUUCUCUGAAAACUUGUGAUUGAUUUUAAGCCGGCGUACUUGGUGCGCCGGCGACCCGCGCCGAUGACAUUGUCAGGCGGGGAGUUUGACUGGGGCGGUACAUCUAUCAAACAGUAACGUAGGUGUCCUAAGGUAAGCUCAGUAAGGACGGAAACCUUACGUAGAGUAAAAGGACAAAAGCUUACUUGAUCUUGAUUUUCAGUACGAAUACAGACCGCGAAAGCGUGGCCUAUCGAUCCUUUCGAUUUGUAAAGUUUACAGCAAGAGGUGUCAGAAAAGUUACCACAGGGAUAACUGGCUUGUGGCAGCCAAGCGUCCAUAGCGACGUUGCUUUUUGAUCCUUCGAUGUCGGCUCUUCCUAUCAUUGCGUAGCAGAAUGCGCAAAGCGUUGGAUUGUUCACCCACUAAUAGGGAACGUGAGCUGGGUUUAGACCGUCGUGAGACAGGUUAGUUUUAUCCUACUGUCAAAGAGUUGUUGCAAUAGUAAUCUUGCUUAGUACGAGAGGAACAGCAGGUUCAGACAAUUGGUUUAUGGGCUCGUCCGAUAGGACGAUGGUCCGAAGCUACCAUCUGCGGGAUUAUAACUGAAUGCCUCUAAGUUAGAAGCCCGUCUAGUUAGGUAAACAAUGUUUUGUACCCCGGCUUCGUGUGGUACGUUUAUGCCUCGGCGCUCGCCGCCGUUGCAGCCUUUACCCUAUAUUUGACCUUGCAGGUCGGUUUAAUUACUGGCUUGUUGUCGAAUCCAUACGACUUUGUGUGGUUGAUUGUCAGGGUGUAAGAUCGCUUGUAGACGACUUGACUACUGGUCAGGGGGUUGUACGCAGCAGAGCAGUUAUUACACUGCGAUCUGUUGAGACUAUCCUUU